UACGGGGGGGGCAAGCGUUGUUCGGAAUUACUGGGCGUAAAGGGCGCGUAGGCGGCCUACUAAGUCGGACGUGAAAUCCCUCGGCUCAACCGAGGAACUGCGUCCGAUACUGGCAGGCUGGAAUCCGGGAGAGGGAUGUGGAAUUCCAGGUGUAGCGGUGAAAUGCGUAGAUAUCUGGAGGAACACCGGUGGCGAAGGCGGCAUCCUGGACCGACACUGACGCUGAGGAGCGAAAGCCAGGGGAGCAAACGGG
RNAcentral lists this ribosomal RNA (253 nucleotides) under uncultured bacterium. RNAcentral's name for it is "partial 16S ribosomal RNA". It matches the Rfam family "Bacterial small subunit ribosomal RNA", at positions 524 to 776 of the family's 1533-position model. The record is from RNAcentral.